UCCGAGUUGACCCCGGCAGUCUCCCAAGAGUCCCCACCAUUACGUGCUGGCAACAUGGGACAGGGGUUGCGCUCGUUGCGAGACUUAACCCAACAUUUCACAACACGAGCUGACGACAGCCAUGCAGCACCUCUCACUACAUUUCCUUGCGGACACCCCGACCAUUACGUCAGGUUCGUAGGAGUUCAAGCCUAGGUAAGGUUCUGCGCGUUGCUUCGAAUUAAACCACAUAAUCCACCGCUUGUGCGGGCCCCCGUCAAUUUGUUUGAGUUUUAGUCUUGCGACCGUACUCCCCAGGCGGAAUACUUAAUGCGUUAGCUGCGUCACUGAGGGAGUCAAUACCCCCAAUAACUAGUAUUCAUCGUUUACGGCGUGGACUAC
This 381-nucleotide unclassified non-coding RNA is filed under the name uncultured Bacteriovoracaceae bacterium. Its description in RNAcentral is "contains 16S-23S intergenic spacer region". The record is from RNAcentral. Lineage: Bacteria; Pseudomonadati; Bdellovibrionota; Bacteriovoracia; Bacteriovoracales; Bacteriovoracaceae.